Molecule: ribosomal RNA, 374 nt
Filed under: uncultured organism
Description: partial 16S ribosomal RNA
Rfam family: Bacterial small subunit ribosomal RNA
Source: RNAcentral
GUAGGUGGCAAGCGUUGUCCGGAAUUAUUGGGCGUAAAGCGUGCGCAGGCGGUUCUUUAAGUCUGAUGUGAAAGCCCACGGCUCAACCGUGGAGGGUCAUUGGAAACUGGAGAACUUGAGUACAGAAGAGGAAAGCGGAAUUCCACGUGUAGCGGUGAAAUGCGUAGAGAUGUGGAGGAACACCAGUGGCGAAGGCGGCUUUCUGGUCUGUAACUGACGCUGAGGCGCGAAAGCGUGGGGAGCAAACAGGGAUUAGAUACCCUGGUAGUCCACGCCGUAAACGAUGAGUGCUAAGUGUUAGGGGGGUUUCCGCCCCCUUAGUGCUGCAGCUAACGCAUUAAGCACUCCGCCUGGGGAGUACGGCCGCAAGGCUG